GCCUCCUUAGCUCAGUCGGUCAGAGCGACGCACUCGUAAUGCGUAGGUCAUCGGUUCGAUUCCGAUAGGAGGCU
Molecule: transfer RNA, 74 nt
Filed under: Actinospica robiniae DSM 44927
Lineage: Bacteria; Bacillati; Actinomycetota; Actinomycetes; Catenulisporales; Actinospicaceae
Also listed under: 3 other names
Rfam family: tRNA
About the family: Transfer RNA (tRNA) molecules are approximately 80 nucleotides in length. Their secondary structure includes four short double-helical elements and three loops (D, anti-codon, and T loops). Further hydrogen bonds mediate the characteristic L-shaped molecular structure. tRNAs have two regions of fundamental functional importance: the anti-codon, which is responsible for specific mRNA codon recognition, and the 3' end, to which the tRNAs corresponding amino acid is attached (by aminoacyl-tRNA synthetases). tRNAs cope with the degeneracy of the genetic code in two manners: having more than one tRNA (with a specific anti-codon) for a particular amino acid; and 'wobble' base-pairing, i.e. permitting non-standard base-pairing at the 3rd anti-codon position.
Source: Rfam by way of RNAcentral